CUGCAGCUUAAAGGGCAGAAAUUAAUCGUGUCUCUAUCCAGGAUUCUGGAGGCUGACACACCAGGGCUCUCCUAAUAAGGACACUAGUCAUACGGGGCCAGGACCGGAGAAGGGGCCAGCAGGAGCCCGCGUGCUGGCUCGGCGGGGUUGGCCGAUGGCCUCCAGCAGGGCCCCAAAGGAGACGUCCUGGGGGUCCCCGUGGAAGGGCCGGCCUUCUCGGGAAGAGCCUCGUGCUCCCAGACACCCCCGGCCGCUCUGCCUGCCGUCCCAGCGAGGUGGCCUCCAAAGAACACGGUGACGCCCUCGGCACUCAGGAGAGGAGGAGGACGCUCCAGGACAGCCGUGCCCUCAGUCCCCCGGUUACAUCGGAGCCUUCCGGGAGGCAGAUGAGGGCCGGGCGCGCAGAGGGGCUCCCGAUGUCCUCUGCUGCCUGGAGAGGGUGGGUGAACAGUCGAGUUCCCGGCUCCGACGGGGAAAGGGUGAGCAGCCGAGGGACCGGGACGGAGACCCCGCUCUGCAGACACGUGAGCCGGCCACGCAUCCAACGGGAGCCAGUGUGGACAAGGGCACCUCCCGGGUGCCACGCACGGUCCCGGCCAGGUUCACGGUUGAACAAAACAGAGAGCUCUGCCCUGGAGGAGCUCACCGGUCUCCCGGGGAGCCAGAGACCUCGGGGCGUGUCGCCGGCCCAGGCCAAAGGUCCUUCCCUGGGAGCCGCCCACCUGGGGUUCCGUGGCAGCCGCUGCAGGAAGCCGAAGUGUGGGCAGCCAGGUGGCCGUCCCGCAGGGGAGGCCGGCCUCCACCCCCGGGUGCCUGGGGCCCCACACAGACCCACGGUCCCCUCCCGCGGCUUACGCCUCGCGUGGCAGACAGCACACUUCGCGCCCGUCACGUGGCCGUGUCUGGGGGUCCUCACAUUGCUUUCUGGGAAGAUCAGACAGACACAGACGGCCCUUGAAGGCCGGCGGAUCCUUGAGCGACCAGCUGGUAAGGAGAGGGCGGGAGAGGACAGGAGUGGAGAAGGGCCCCGGGUGGCCCGGCAGCUCCCCCCACCCCAGUGUACCUGCAGCAGGAGCCCCGGUCACAGAAAACCAGGCGUGUUUCCCUGCCUGACUGCGGUCCCCAGGGGGCCCCGUCUGCUCAGCCACUGGAGCCCUCGUCCUCGGCCAGGGCCUUCAGAACUUACUUUACACCUAACGGCCCCCCCUUACACCUGCUUGCCAAUCCCAGGGACGUGAUCUUAGGGACGCCGGUCCGUCUGAGCGGUGUCCCCGGGAGGCCGCGAGCCUCAGCACGUCCCCGGGGCCUCGGGGCCGCGUCUCUGUCCACCUCUGCCGAGCGACCUCUGCCGAGCGACCUCCGGGUUUGUGACCAGCGGCCCCAUUUGCCCUGCACACACAUGGGCUCUGGUGCAGAAUAAAGCUAAGGAGGCCCAGCCCUGUGCCCCUCUGUUCGCUGGCGGUGGUGAGUUUGCUGGGGUGCCUGACCGCCCGACUGCUCCAGGGUCGAUGGGGACGCUGCAGGCCCAGGCUUGUGGGGGUACGCGGUCACAUCAGUGCCCGGUGAGGAAGGAGCUCCACCCUGAUGUUUGCCUGGGCUGCCCUUAAGAGUGGGGACACUGUGGUCCCAGAGCAGGCCCAACCCCUAAGAGCGGGGACACUGGUCGCAGAGCAGGCCCAACCCCCAAGAGCGGGGACACCGUGGUCCCAGAGGAGGCCCAACCCCCAAGAGCGGGGACACCGUGGUCCCAGAGCAGGCCCAACCCCCAAGAGCAGGGACACCGUGGUCCCAGGCAAGGCCCAAGCAGCAAAGGAAACCUCUGGUUCACUCGAAGGUGAGAGACAGGUGUGGGGUCUUCACGAUGUGUGCUGUCAUCCUGGGCUGUCCCCUUGCCCUCACACUGAGGCCCCACCUGUGGGCACUCGCCCAGUCGUGAGUCUGUGUCCACAGGACUCUGGCGUGGCCCCCGGCCACUCCCUGGUGGCCUGGUCAGAGCACAGGGCAGACGGGGGCCGCCUGAGGCAGGCGCAUCCCGUGUGGGCUUUGUGCCCACGAUUUGCGCAGUGUUCCCACGGAGCUCCCUGCCCAGUGGGACGACCGUCAUGGGUCUCGGAGAGGAAGCUCAGCCCCAGCGGGGUUAAAUGACUUGCCCCAGGGACACAGCCCAGAAGUGGCAGAACUGGGACCCAGUCCAGGGCUGUCCUCCCCCCGCACCUGGGUACACGCACCCCGACCUCUCCACUGCUCUGACAGUGCACGAGAGGCUGGGUAGGCGGCCACCGAGGCGGCCUCCGAGGAAAACGGGCUCCCGGGGCUCCAGCCCCCUUCCCUGUAAGAGCGGGGACCAGGCCUGCACGCUGAGCCCCCGGGGCCGCUGUGCGGGCAGAGACGCAGGGAGUGCGAGUUCGCAAACCAGUGAGGUGUGGGUCAUUACCCACCUGCCCGCUCUCAGGUGAUUACCCGCGGGACCCAGGCCUCUUCCGGACGGGCAGGUCCACGAUCAUCGCUGUGGCAGGUCCUCUGUGCCCCGAAAACCGUAGCCAAGGCCUCCAGCCAGAAGGAAUCAUGCCGGAUGCCAACCAUGAACACAAAAUGCUUUCGGAUCGUCUAACACGCAAGGGAAUUCGGUGUGGCCCCCCGGCCACCCAACAGCUUCGUGGCUGGGUGCUGUUUUCCCCACGACGCCUUCCAGCUUUCGGUCCCUGUGAGCUGUGAGGCCAGCAGCCACGGAGCGGGCAAGACCCAGGAGGAAGGAGACACGGGCUGCAGGGAGCCUCCUCUUCCGGCCUGCAGGUCAUUGGGAACACGUCGCCCGGGGGUUCGGGACCACCACGCACCGAGGCCCCACGGCAGCCAGACCUGCCGCCCCGCCCCGACUACCGUUGUUACGUCUCACGGGCCAUCGCACGGGAGACACGUGGCACUGAAGCUGUUACCAAAUAUUCGACAGCUAAAUUUGCACUGGAGUGAUCUGCCUGCUUUUCUGUAAACACGUCACAGGGGAAGAGGAGUGAUUCCCGGCCCCCUGUGCCGCAGGCAGACUCAGCGGCCUCGUGGGGCCCCGUGGCGCCCCACGCGUCAGGGGGAAGCCCCAAAUCAGUUAGAGCUUAGUGACGGGAAGAGGUCGUCCCUUCCCACCCACAUCCACAGGCCCAGGCGUGUCCAGGAGAGAGUCCCCUCCUCCGCCGUGCCCCCUCCAGGCCCCUGUCUUUCCACGUGCCCACUGAGGUCCUGGACCAGCUCCUUGGAAGUACCUGCUCCGAGUGGCCCUCUGGACUCGCCCUUGGCCUCCAGCCAGCUGGGCCCGUGCUGGCCCGACACUCCCAUGGUCCUCCUGUCCGCACCUCUGCUCGCACCCAGCAGACCCCGCCUGCCCCAGGCAGUCCCCUCCAGCUGCUCUGCACCCCCCCCGCCCCCCUGUAACUCAUCCCACUCCUGAG
Molecule: long non-coding RNA, 3440 nt
Organism: Felis catus (domestic cat)
Lineage: Eukaryota; Metazoa; Chordata; Mammalia; Carnivora; Felidae
Exons: 3
Source: RefSeq, a predicted model, not a curated record